RNAcentral lists this ribosomal RNA (537 nucleotides) under Triticum aestivum (bread wheat). Its description in RNAcentral is "partial small subunit ribosomal RNA". The record is from RNAcentral. Lineage: Eukaryota; Viridiplantae; Streptophyta; Magnoliopsida; Poales; Poaceae.
AUGCGCUGCCAGGUCGCUCUUGCAAAGCACACCUGCCCACUGAGGCUUGCGUCGUCGGCUAGGUCAGGGCAGGGGUGCUCGCAUGUCUCUCAGCUUUUGGUCCGGGGGGCAGGGAGGGCACGUGGCAUGGCGUCGGCGCCGGCAAGAACACGGCUGUGGUCGGCACCCUGCCGGCAGCUCGGCACUCAGAGUAGAAGGAAAAUGGAUAAGGAUUACAGAAUGAGAGAGGGGAAGCCGGAGGCCAAGAAUAGCAGGUCCUGUAGGUGCAUUACUGAACACCGUGAGAGCCACAACCAUUCUAUGUCUAUGACGAUGGGAGACAAGGUGCACUGGUGGUCACACAAGCACAUUGAUGUGCACACCAAGGAUAUGAUAAACAAGUUGAGGGAAAAUAAUGUUAACUUUCUGGGUUAUCUCAACCCAACUCCCAGAGUAUACUUGGCCACAGAUCUUGGCUGUGCUCAUAAGAAAGAAGUUGCAUGGAGUACUACUAGUUGCGAGCAUGAGCACAGCACCUCUCUCGGCCUGUGUGUGUAG